RNAcentral lists this unclassified non-coding RNA (90 nucleotides) under Pseudomonas kilonensis. Lineage: Bacteria; Pseudomonadati; Pseudomonadota; Gammaproteobacteria; Pseudomonadales; Pseudomonadaceae. The record is from RNAcentral.
UGUGGGAGCGGGCUUGCUCGCGAAGACGGUCUAUCAGUCAAGGAUAAUGUCGACUGACACACCGCCUUCGCGAGCAAGCCCGCUCCCACA